This 112-nucleotide small nuclear RNA is filed under the name Oncorhynchus tshawytscha (Chinook salmon). RNAcentral's name for it is "U5 spliceosomal RNA". It matches the Rfam family "U5 spliceosomal RNA". From Rfam's summary of the family: U5 RNA is a component of both types of known spliceosome. The precise function of this molecule is unknown, though it is known that the 5' loop is required for splice site selection and p220 binding, and that both the 3' stem-loop and the Sm site are important for Sm protein binding and cap methylation. The record is from Rfam by way of RNAcentral. Lineage: Eukaryota; Metazoa; Chordata; Actinopteri; Salmoniformes; Salmonidae.
AUACUCGGUUUCUCUUCAUUACGCACAAGCCUUUCGCCUUUACUAAAGACUCCGUGGAGAGGAACACUACGAGUUCAACGUAUUUUGGAGCGGCUUGCUUCUUGCAGAGCCC